Molecule: ribosomal RNA, 615 nt
Filed under: Microbotryum lagerheimii
Lineage: Eukaryota; Fungi; Basidiomycota; Microbotryomycetes; Microbotryales; Microbotryaceae
Description: LSU rRNA
Rfam family: Eukaryotic large subunit ribosomal RNA
Source: RNAcentral
AAUAAGCGGAGGAAAAGAAACUAACAAGGAUUCCCCUAGUAACGGCGAGUGAAGCGGGAAAAGCUCAAAUUUGUAAUCUGGCGCCUUGGGCGUCCGAGUUGUAAUCUCGAGAAGUAUUUUCCGCGCUGGACCGCACAUAAGUCUGUUGGAAUACAGCGUCAUAGUGGUGAGAACCCCGUAUAGGGUGCGGAUGCCCAGUGCUUUGUGAUAUACUUUCGAAGAGUCGAGUUGUUUGGGAAUGCAGCUCAAAUUGGGUGGUAAAUUCCAUCUAAAGCUAAAUAUUGGCGAGAGACCGAUAGCGAACAAGUACCGUGAGGGAAAGAUGAAAAGCACUUUGGAAAGAGAGUUAACAGUACGUGAAAUUGUUGGAAGGGAAACGCUUGAAGUCAGACUUGCAUUUUGGAGUUCAGCCGCAAGGUGUAUUCUUCAAUUCGCAGGCCAGCAUCAGUUUCUGGGGGUGGAAAAGCGCGGUUGGAAGGUAGCAGUCUCGGCUGUGUUAUAGCUUUCCGCUGGAUUCACUUUUGGGGGCUGAGGAACGCAGUACGCUUUUUGCAAGAUUUUCGAGUCUUUCGUACUUAGGAUGCUGGUGGAAUGGCUUUAAACGACCCGUCUUGA